CGGGGCUCCACUCACAGGGAGGGGCCCGCUGAGGGUCCGCGGAGCAGCCGAGCUCACGGAGACCCUGCGGCCUGCGGUGGGGGCCACAGACAGCCUUCAGCAAGGCCGGCCGGUGGAGGGAGAGGAGCCCUGGACCCAGUCUGCGUGUUCCGCAGAGCUCUGGGUAGCGAGAGGUUUUCAGGUGCAAGACUUCAGGAGAAGAAUGACCAGACUCUUGCUCGCACCAAAGAAUGAAAACAGCUUAUCUAAUGUUCUGGAAGAAUGAACCGAAGCUAUGAGCUAAGGCUGCGGGCUCGUAGGCCUGGAGAAUCGUUAGAGUCAGCAUCCCCAAGGAAUACGAACACACAUGGUGUCCCUUUAUCUAAGUGGAAGAACACACAGAGAUUACACUUUGGAAAUGAUUGCCUAUGUACUUAAAUUCAUACUGCACAAUUGCUCUUGGAUGUUUUCUGGAAAGAGAAAUUCAGAAGGUUUAUAGAGUUCAUUUAAACAACAUAAAUCUGCAUUUUAUUUCACUAAAUGGGAAGGCAUGGCCACAGAGUUUGGAAAAGAGUAAUAUGUAGUUGUGUCAGAAGGGAUGUAUUUCACUGUCCCUUCCAAGAAAGGUUAUUAUCUUCCCCAGGAGUCAGUGUGGCCACAGGACACACAUGCUGGGCCGUUCCUGUAAGACCUCAUAUAGUUUCCUACCGACAUGAAGCCUUCAGCAAUAAAAUGAAAACAAAAAUCGCUGGAA
Molecule: long non-coding RNA, 733 nt
Organism: Manis javanica (Malayan pangolin)
Lineage: Eukaryota; Metazoa; Chordata; Mammalia; Pholidota; Manidae
Source: RefSeq, a predicted model, not a curated record